Molecule: ribosomal RNA, 478 nt
Filed under: uncultured bacterium
Lineage: Bacteria
Description: partial 16S ribosomal RNA
Rfam family: Bacterial small subunit ribosomal RNA
Source: RNAcentral
GACGAACGCUGGCGGCGUGCUUAACACAUGCAAGUCGAACGGUAAGGCCCUUCGGGGUACACGUGUGGCGAACGGGUGAGUAACACGUGGGUGAUCUGCCCUGCACUUCGGGAUAAGCCUGGGAAACUGGGUCUAAUACCGGAUAGGACUCCGGACUGCAUGGUCUGGGGUGGAAAGCUUUUGCGGUGUGGGAUGGGCCCGCGGCCUAUCAGCUUGUUGGUGGGGUGAUGGCCUACCAAGGCGACGACGGGUAGCCGGCAUGAGAGGGUGACCGGCCACACUGGGACUGAGAUACGGCCCAGACUCCUGCGGGAGGCAGCAGUGGGGAAUAGUGCACAAUGGGCGCAAGCCUGAUGCAGCGACGCCGCGUGAGGGAUGACGGCCUUCGGGUUGUAAACCUCUUUCAGCAUCGACGAAGCGAAAGUGACGGUAGGUGCAGAAGAAGGACCGGCCAACUACGUGCCAGCAGCCGCGGUAA